UGGGGAAUAUUGCACAAUGGGCGCAAGCCUGAUGCAGCCAUGCCGCGUGUAUGAAGAAGGCCUUCGGGUUGUAAAGUACUUUCAGCGGGGAGGAAGGGAGUAAAGUUAAUACCUUUACUCAUUGACGUUACCCGCAGAAGAAGCACCGGCUAACUCCGUGCCAGCAGCCGCGGUAAUACGGAGGGUGCAAGCGUUAAUCGGAAUUACUGGGCGUAAAGCGCACGCAGGCGGUUGAUUGAGUCAGAUGUGAAAUCCCCGGGCUUAACCCGGGAAUUGCAUCUGAUACUGGUCAGCUAGAGUCUUGUAGAGGGGGGUAGAAUUCCAUGUGUAGCGGUGAAAUGCGUAGAGAUGUGGAGGAAUACCGGUGGCGAAGGCGGCCCCCUGGACAAAGACUGACGCUCAGGUGCGAAAGCGUGGGGAGCAAACAGG
Molecule: ribosomal RNA, 429 nt
Filed under: Chloroflexota bacterium
Lineage: Bacteria; Bacillati; Chloroflexota
Description: Chloroflexi bacterium partial 16S ribosomal RNA
Rfam family: Bacterial small subunit ribosomal RNA
Source: RNAcentral